AGGAUUAAAGGCUACCGAUCGAGGAGUGUGUGAAAAGCUUGGAUCAUUGGAGUGACUAAAUCUAGUCAUCAACAUCGGCAAAGGAGAAAUCACAUAGGAGAUCUCGUCAAGGAAUAUCUCAAAUCAGGUGAGCCUUAAUAUGGGGACUUGGGCCGGAGGGGAUUUGGAGUGGCCACGGUGAUCGCUUUUGGACCUUUAAAUAAGCAUUGGUUUGGACCUUUAAAUAAGCAUUGGUUUUCAUUUAAUUUCCUUUAACUAUUAUUUAUUUUUGGGGAUGUAAUAAGGCCAUUUUUAACUUUUUCUUUAUUUCUUCUCGGGAUUAUUUAUUUUUAAUAACUUCAAA
Molecule: long non-coding RNA, 343 nt
Organism: Gossypium arboreum
Lineage: Eukaryota; Viridiplantae; Streptophyta; Magnoliopsida; Malvales; Malvaceae
Exons: 3
Source: RefSeq, a predicted model, not a curated record